UGUUUUGUUUCCUUUAGAAUUAAAAUGGCACCAUUGAGUGUAAUAAUUAAGGUGGGCCCACUUUGAUUUAAAAGUGGUCACAUUGAUGUCUUAUGUAAAUUUAAAAGGCACGUACCAGCAAGAAACAAAUACAAACACUUUUACAUUUCAGAUGGUUCUUUCUUCCACUUUGGGAAAUUUUACAUAAACUUUAAGUAAAUUCCUUGAGCAUGAACGUUUCCAGCAAUUUAACCUCGGGGGGAGGUUGUUUUGAAGAGGAAACGUGACUAGCGAUAUAAGGUAACGACGUGACAUUGGGAGAGAGCAAGUGAACGAUAACAUAGCUAAACGACAAAGGUAGACAGGGAGGUGAGCUUGGUCCAGACCCUUAGUAGCUGUCAGCUGAUUGAGAGCACUCCAUUGUCCGGAGGUGCUUAUGAUUCUUCUUUUGGUAUAUAUGCAUAUUUUGGGCACGACGGAGUCUUGUUCCGUCUAUAUGUUUAGUAUGUCAGUAGAGGCUCGUAGAUACGCAGUGUGGGUCAGAUGGUCUCACAAGAUGUUAUUAUUAUGUAUAUAUUAUUUUGAUGACCGAGAGACAAAUGUAUAUAAGUAUUUAUGUUUCUAUAUAAAAUAUGAUUUUCCUACAAUUCGUGUAUAAAAUUGGUAAAAGAGCACUAAAUGAGUAAGAUGAGUAUUAGAGCGAGUGGUGCUCGGUGGCUAGCCCCGGGUACCCGUCACGGUCCCUAGCUGGGUCGUGACAGGAACAACUACAAUGACUAUCAAAAUUGUUGCAAAAACUGCUAACGUUAUUGUUAUUAUUGCAAGAUUUCAAAGUGGAUAAUUAUUAUUACUCCCCCGUCCCAAUUUAAGUGUGUUACUUUCCUUUUUAGUAUGUCUCAAAAAGAGUGUAUCUUUUUAUAUUUAGUAAGUUGACAAUUCAAAUAUCUUACAUGAUAAAUUUAU
Lycium barbarum (goji berry) is the source of this 942-nucleotide long non-coding RNA. RefSeq lists it as uncharacterized. The record is from RefSeq and is a predicted model, not a curated record. NCBI's taxonomy places the organism in Eukaryota, Viridiplantae, Streptophyta, Magnoliopsida, Solanales, Solanaceae. The transcript has 3 exons.